This 3495-nucleotide long non-coding RNA is filed under the name Lactuca sativa (garden lettuce). RNAcentral's name for it is "long non-coding RNA (LSAT_LNC000155)". The record is from RNAcentral. Lineage: Eukaryota; Viridiplantae; Streptophyta; Magnoliopsida; Asterales; Asteraceae.
UCCAGGGUUGCUGAUAACCCACAGGGUGUGCUGUUUGCUCAUUGAGACUUCGAGUAGACUCCAGGGUUGCUGAUAACCUAUAGUUGUUUCAUGUGGUGUGUUGUAUGUGAUAUUUUGGGGAACUCACUAAGCUUUGUGCUUACAUUUGUUGAUUAUAUGUGUUUCUGGUGCUUCUGAGGAUCGUGGGAAAGUGAAGGUCUGAUUGUACACACACGUUGGGAGAUUAUGUUAUUGGACAUUUUGGGACACUCUAAUAUUUAGAUGUGAAAUUGUAUUUGACGUUAUGACUUUUAUUAGGAUGGUUUUAUGAAAACUGAUUUCGAUGGAACUAAAAAUGAAAAAUAAAAAAAGUUGGUUUGAAAAUUUGGAUGUUACAAGUUUGUAUCAUAGCCCUGGUUUGAGGGAUUUGGAUGAACUCUUGGGGAAUUCCAAACUCAAACUAAGGGUCUUGAGACAGGGCAUGUGUAUAGAUGAUGUUGAGGAAUAAAGUCCUUGUGAUUUAGGGUCUUGAGAGGAUGACUUGAGACAAAUACGGGGACUAUUUCACACCUACUACUAACACAUAAUAUCAUAUCAUAAUCAUGUUGUCAGACAUAUCUGGGGUGUCCGACCUACCCAUUGGUCCUAGCGACCGAAUCGGGGACAAGUUCCCCUUCUNCAUAUUUUAUUUUGGGAACAAAUUCCGCAACCGUUUUCUUUAAACGAUCACUCUGAUUUAUAAAACAAAGCAUAAACAAAUCGGAGCAGGCUGAAUAGUUGACAUGCUCUUGAAUAUCAGCCCUCAACAUAUCAUGGUAGCGGGUCUUCCGCAUCUCCUCAUCCCCCGCAUACUGGGGUACCAACAGGGCCCUCUCCCUGAACUUGGCAGUGAUCUCCGCCAGUGUCUCAUUCGUCUGCGUUAUAUCCAAAAACUCCAUGGACAGCUACCGAACCUCCACAGCCGGAGCAAACUCAGCCCUGAAUCUGGUCACGAAAUCUGACCACGUCAUAGCCUCGACAGCUAGGGCUCCCAACGAGUCACCAACCGACUCCUACAAGUCUCUAGCUCUAUCCCUCAGACAUCCCGCAGCAAAGCAGACCUUCGACCCUUCCGGGUAGAAGCUCGUCAACUGCUCAUACUCAAUGUCUGCGAUCAAUCUCCUGGCAGCAAUGGGUUCCUUUACCCCGUAAAAAUCCGGCGCACCACUCCCUCUGAAGUCCUUGAAGGACAAUGUGCGCGUACCCACCUGGACAGAUGCCAAAUCACUCCUGAAUGCUCAGAAGCGAUCAUCCAUCAGCUCGAUUAUCCCCUCCUUUGUCGACCCGAAAAUAAUCGGGGUCGACUCAAGGAUACCUCUCUUGAUCUCAGACGUGAUGAACUCGCGUAGCCCGUCAUCCACCUGCUCGGAUCCUGCCCCAGAGCCUGAUCCUGGUCCUGACCCAGAUCCUGAGCCUCCUGCUCCAUGUCGUGUGACCACCAUACUGAAAUAAACACGUUAACGUCAGGAUCAUAUGUUCUCCUGAGAGGUCUCACACACUCCCCCGGUUUCCUGGUUCCAUCUCAACCCUCCUUGACUCGAGUACGGAUCCUCUGCUUUCAGUAGUACGGGCCCAUACUACCUUCCACAUCUAUCCGUACUUUCCUCAAGGAUUGCCUCAACUUCACCAAGUCCCCUUACCAAGAUCCUUUUCUGACUGAUCUCAUCCUAGGCCUUCAUAGGGCACCCUCCAACCUACUCUCCGCCAUCAGCUGCACUAGGAUUCCCUACCUUCCUUCCCUAACUAGCUUGCGAAUAUUGUUACAUAUCUGCCCACUAUUUAGUUAAAUUUAGUCGAGUCCCCUUUAGCGCAAAACAAGCAGCAUUCGUGCAUUGAGUACCCACAUCAGGCAUAACCUAGUCAUGCUAUCCUACCGCUGGCUAAGCAGCCCUAGCAUACAACUCAUACAACAAGCAUUCCAGGCAUCCUCCUAGAUCCUUAGCCCUAAUCCAGCAUGCAGUUCUCAGAAUCAUAUAUCAUACACAUAACAUAACAAGUAUGGGUAUCUUGGGGAAAACUUACUUGAGCUCGACCGGUCGCACACAUCACACACCUUGUCCUUUCUCAAUUUUUUUAACUUAAAGUUUUAGAAACUGUUUUCUUUGUGGAAAAUCUCUUAGUCCCUCGGUUUGAGUCCAGACACCCCCGAGGGUGUGUCCGAAUCCCUCAAACUAGGACUCUGAUACCAGCUUGUAACAUCCCAAAAUUUGAGGCCAAAAAUUUCGUUUUUAAAUUAAGUGAUUUAUAAACUUGUUUAUCAAAACAUUGCCAAGAUCAUGUCAAUACAUAAACCAUAAUAUCAUGUUUCAAACCAAAUUAUCUUGAAGUAACAAAAUAUCAUAGUACAAUCCCAGAAACUCUAAGAGGAAAUCAUGUGUGUGUGUGAUGCGCUGCUACACUGCCAUCUCCUUCCGGUUAGACAAAGAGGUACCUGAAACCAGAAACUAAAAUUGUAAGCACAAAGCUUAGUGAGCUCCCCCAUCAUACCAGAUACCAUACAAUCACAUAGCAUACAUACUGCUGGACAAUUCUGGGGCGCCCGUCCUACCCAUGUCAAGCCAUUCUGGGGUGCUGACCUACCAAUGUCCAACAAUUUUGGGGUGCUGACCUUCCCAUGUCAAGACAUUCUGGGGUGCUAACCUACCCAUGUCAAGCCAUUUUGGGGUGCUGACCUACCCUCCGGUCUAUCUCAACCGUACACGGGGACUAUUUCACCCCUACUACUAACACAUAAUAUCAUAUCAUAAUCAUGUUGUCAGACAUAUCUGGGGUGUCCGACCUACCCAUUGGUCCUAGCGACCGAAUCGGGNACGGGGACUAUUUCACACCUACUACUAACACAUAAUAUCAUAUCAUAAUCAUGUUGUCAGACAUAUCUGGGGUGUCCGACCUACCCAUUGGUCCUAGCGACCGAAUCGGGGACAAGUUCCCCUUCUACUGAUACUAUCUCACAUAACAUAGCAACUAGCAAACUAACAUACUCACAUAUCUAGCAAUGUAGCAUACUCACAUAUCCAACAAUAACAGACCAGACAAUUAUCACAUAGAUAAUCGUCCCAACUAACAAUUACUAGUGGGCCGACCUCGGUGCCUUAGACCCACUUCUACUGGAAGUUAACACACCUCGAUUUCGUGUAGUGUCUGAACUGUCCUCGGCGUGAAGGUCGGCUCUCCUCAACUCCUCAAUCCCUAUACGACAACCCUCAAGUCAUCAAACAGAAUACACAACCCUAACCCGGGUAAAUGCCAAAACCAGGCAAAGUCAACACCCAUUUGACCUGACUCGCCGAGUUGGUCUACCAACUCAUCGAGUCCAUACUCCAUUAACCCGAUCCAACCCCGACUUCACUCGUCGAGUCUAGCAAGAACUCGACUGGUUCUCUUCCAUUCAAACCAUCAGGACCACCUUCAUCCGACUCGCCGAGUUGUAUGAACAACUCGUCGAGUCCAUCUUCAAAGAUUGGGAGAUUGCCUUGG